Molecule: ribosomal RNA, 329 nt
Filed under: uncultured eukaryote
Lineage: Eukaryota
Description: partial 18S ribosomal RNA
Rfam family: Eukaryotic small subunit ribosomal RNA
Source: RNAcentral
CCCUUAGAUGUUCUGGGCCGCACGCGCGCUACAAUGAUGAAUUCAACGAGUUUAUGACCUUGGUUGAAAAGCCUGGGUAAUCUUUUGAACUUUCGUCGUGAUGGGGCUAGACCCUUGCAAUUAUUGGUCUCCAACGAGGAAUUCCUAGUAAACGCAAGUCAUCAGCUUGCAUUGAUUACGUCCCUGCCCUUUGUACACACCGCCCGUCGCACCUACCGAUUGAAUGGUCCGGUGAAAUCUUCGGAUUGAGACUUUGUUUUCUUCACGGAAAACGCUGUUUUAAAAAGUUGAUUAAACCUUACCAUUUAGAGGAAGGUGAAGUCGUAACA